Hibiscus syriacus is the source of this 232-nucleotide long non-coding RNA. RefSeq lists it as uncharacterized. The record is from RefSeq and is a predicted model, not a curated record. Lineage: Eukaryota; Viridiplantae; Streptophyta; Magnoliopsida; Malvales; Malvaceae. The transcript has 2 exons.
UGAAAAUACGAGCAAUUCGCACCUGCAAACAGAAAGCAUCAUCAUUUGAUCAUCACAUGUACAUAUCUCUUGUAACAUAGACCUUUUCUAAUCUCCCUUUCAAAUACAUUUCACAUCAUGUCCAAGUUAAUAUUUUAGGUUUAAGCUAAAUUCAGAUGAUCGGUUCAAAGUUUCAACUGGCUAAAUUCACAUUUUGAACGCAAUAACACAGAUUCAUCUGGCACAUUACUAA